GACGAACGCUGGCGGCAUGCCUAAUACAUGCAAGUCGAGCGAACAGAUGAAGUGCUUGCACUUCUGACGUUAGCGGCGAACGGGUGAGUAACACGUAAGGAAUCUACCUAUAAGCGGGGGAUAACAUUCGGAAACGGGUGCUAAUACCGCAUAAUAUCUUCUUCCGCAUGGAAGAAGAUUGAAAGACGGCUCUGCUGUCACUUAUAGAUGACCUUGCGGUGCAUUAGUUAGUUGGUGGGGUAAUGGCCUACCAAGACGAUGAUGCAUAGCCGACCUGAGAGGGUGAGCGGCCACAUGUGGACUGAGACACGGCCCAAACUCCGACGGGAGGCAGCAGUAGGGAAUCUUCCGCAAUGGGCGAAAGCCUGACGGAGCAAUGCCGCGUGAGUGAAGAAGGCCUUCGGGUCGUAAAACUCUGUUAUAAGAGAAGAACAAAUUGUAGAGUAACUGCUACAGCCUUGACGGUAUCUUAUCAGAAAGCCACGGCUAACUACGUGCCAGCAGCCGCGGUAA
RNAcentral lists this ribosomal RNA (513 nucleotides) under uncultured bacterium. Its description in RNAcentral is "partial 16S ribosomal RNA". It matches the Rfam family "Bacterial small subunit ribosomal RNA", at positions 28 to 523 of the family's 1533-position model. The record is from RNAcentral.